This is a non-coding RNA of Gasterosteus aculeatus aculeatus (three-spined stickleback), 631 nucleotides long. Lineage: Eukaryota; Metazoa; Chordata; Actinopteri; Perciformes; Gasterosteidae. The record is from RefSeq and is a predicted model, not a curated record.
CGGAGCAUUUAGAAGUGAUAGUGAUUUCAUCCGUACGCCACUUCUCCUACGCAAGGUUUUAUAAAUGAGGCCCCUGGACCCUACACUGCCUGACAGCCGCACACUGGCUCAGAAGGAAAAGGAGAAGAGGAUGAUGUCAGAUGCUGUACACUACAACAGGCGUCACCGUGCAUAAAUGCACAGUGUCUUGUCACCAGGAGAACCUGUAUGGGUCACCGACGCUAAGACGUCUGGAACUGUCAUCCAGAACCACACCCCAGAGGCUUUAAUUUUGAAGAGCUGUGGUCUCCCCCUGUUCAUUCCUGAAGGGUGUGGCUGGAACAGCGGACGGCAUUCAGCCAUCAGGGGACUCUCAUAUCAUCCCGGGUCUUCCUGCCAUUCAGCGCCAGAUCGUUCCAACGUCAGAGUGGUAAACUACUUUUUCAGGCCAUCUGGCUGCUCGCUGUGGAUUAGACGCUGUCUUUGUUUCUGUUCUUUUUCUGUUUUUGCCCUAGUGCUUGAGGAUUCCUACCUGCCGGCUGGCAGGCUCUCAGAGUCCGGUCUCCCCCCCCCGACUCAACCGGUACCUGUGUGCCAAAUUGUGUGUGUACGAUCUGAAUAAACACCUUGUUUUCACGUCGGAAGAACCUUC